GGCGGGGCGGCGUGCCUAAUACAUGCAAGUCGAACGCACAGCGAAAGGUGCUUGCACCUUUCAAGUGAGUGGCGAACGGGUGAGUAACACGUGGACAACCUGCCUCAAGGCUGGGGAUAACAUUUGGAAACAGAUGCUAAUACCGAAUAAAACUUAGUGUCGCAUGACACAAAGUUAAAAGGCGCUUCGGCGUCACCUAGAGAUGGAUCCGCGGUGCAUUAGUUAGUUGGUGGGGUAAAGGCCUACCAAGACAAUGAUGCAUAGCCGAGUUGAGAGACUGAUCGGCCACAUUGGGACUGAGACACGGCCCAAACUCCUACGGGAGGCUGCAGUAGGGAAUCUUCCACAAUGGGCGAAAGCCUGAUGGAGCAACGCCGCGUGUGUGAUGAAGGCUUUCGGGUCGUAAAGCACUGUUGUAUGGGAAGAACAGCUAGAAUAGGAAAUGAUUUUAGUUUGACGGUACCAUACCAGAAAGGGACGGCUAAAUACGUGCCAGCAGCCGCGGUAAUACGUAUGUCCCGAGCGUUAUCCGGAUUUAUUGGGCGUAAAGCGAGCGCAGACGGUUUAUUAAGUCUGAUGUGAAAGCCCGGAGCUCAACUCCGGAAUGGCAUUGGAAACUGGUUAACUUGAGUGCAGUAGAGGUAAGUGGAACUCCAUGUGUAGCGGUGGAAUGCGUAGAUAUAUGGAAGAACACCAGUGGCGAAGGCGGCUUACUGGACUGCAACUGACGUUGAGGCUCGAAAGUGUGGGUAGCAAACAGGAUUAGAUACCCUGGUAGUCCACACCGUAAACGAUGAACACUAGGUGUUUAGGAGGUUUCCGCCUCUUAGUGCCGAAGCUAACGCAUUAAGUGUUCCGCCUGGGGAGUACGACCGCAAGGUUGAAACUCAAAGGAAUUGACGGGGACCCGCACAAGCGGUGGAGCAUGUGGUUUAAUUCGAAGCAACGCGAAGAACCUUACCAGGUCUUGACAUCCUUUGAAGCUUUUAAAGAUAGAAGUGUUCUCUUCGGAGACAAAGUGACAGGUGGUGCAUGGUCGUCGUCAGCUCGUGUCGUGAAAUGUUUGGGUUAAGUCCCGCAACGAGCGCAACCCUUAUUGUUAGUUGCCAGCAUUCAGAUGGGCACUCUAGCGAGACUGCCGGUGACAAACCGGAAGAAAGGCGGGGACGACGUCAGAUCAUCAUGCCCCUUAUGACCUGGGCUACACACGUGCUACAAUGGCGUAUACAACGAGUUGCCAACCCGCGAGGGUGAGCUAAUCUCUUAAAGUACGUCUCAGUUCGGAUUGUAGUCUGCAACUCGACUACAUGAAGUCGGAAUCGCUAGUAAUCGCGGAUCAGCACGCCGCGGUGAAUACGUUCCCGGGUCUUGUACACACCGCCCCGUCACACACGGGGAGUUUUGUAAGGCCCAAACCCGGGGGGCUAUCUUUUUAAGGAGAACCCUUCUAAGCGGAACAUAAAAGGGGGGGGAUUCUCACUGGCCCUGAGCCAACCUGCCCUGGCCUUAGGC
This 1512-nucleotide ribosomal RNA is filed under the name Leuconostoc mesenteroides. RNAcentral describes it as "bacterial SSU rRNA". It matches the Rfam family "Bacterial small subunit ribosomal RNA". The record is from RNAcentral. Lineage: Bacteria; Bacillati; Bacillota; Bacilli; Lactobacillales; Lactobacillaceae.